Molecule: ribosomal RNA, 216 nt
Filed under: uncultured bacterium
Lineage: Bacteria
Description: partial 16S ribosomal RNA
Rfam family: Bacterial small subunit ribosomal RNA
Source: RNAcentral
UACGUAGGGUGCGAGCGUUGUCCGGAAUUAUUGGGCGUAAAGAGCUCGUAGGCGGUUUGUCGCGUCUGCUGUGAAAACCUAAGGCUCAACCUUGGGCUUGCAGUGGGUACGGGCAGACUAGAGUGCGGUAGGGGUGACUGGAAUUCCUGGUGUAGCGGUGAAAUGCGCAGAUAUCGGGAAGAACACCCGUGGCCGAAGGCGGCUACCUGGACCGGU